AGAGUUUGAUCAUGGCUCAGGACGAACGCUGGCGGCAUGCCUUACACAUGCAAGUCGAACGGCAGCGCGGACUUCGGUCUGGCGGCGAGUGGCGAACGGGUGAGUAAUACAUCGGAACGUGUCCUGUAGUGGGGGAUAGCCCGGCGAAAGCCGGAUUAAUACCGCAUACGAUCUACGGAUGAAAGCGGGGGACCUUCGGG
RNAcentral lists this ribosomal RNA (200 nucleotides) under uncultured bacterium. Its description in RNAcentral is "partial 16S ribosomal RNA". It matches the Rfam family "Bacterial small subunit ribosomal RNA", at positions 8 to 224 of the family's 1533-position model. The record is from RNAcentral.